This 378-nucleotide unclassified non-coding RNA is filed under the name uncultured bacterium. Its description in RNAcentral is "contains 16S-23S intergenic spacer region". The record is from RNAcentral.
UCCGGUUUAUCACCGGCAGUCUCCACAGAGUCCUCGCCAUUACGCGUUAGUAACUGUGAACAAGGGUUGCGCUCGUUGCGGGACUUAACCCAACAUCUCACGACACGGGCUGACGACAGCCAUGCAGCACCUCUACAGCGACCUCCGAAGAGGGGACCUCAUCUCUGAGGCUUUCCACUGCAGUUCAAACCCAGGUAAGGUUCUGCGCGUUGCUUCGAAUUAAUCCACAUCAUCCACCGCUUGUGCGGGUCCCCGUCAAUUCCUUUGAGUUUUAGCCUUGCGGCCGUACUCCCCAGGCGGGGUGCUUAAUGCGUUAGCUGCGCCACUGACGAGCAAGCUCGCCAACGGCUGGCAUUCAUCGUUUACGGCGUGGACUAC